AGAUUGAACGCUGGCGGCAGGCCUAACACAUGCAAGUCGAGCGGUAGAGAGGUGCUUGCACCUCUUGAGAGCGGCGGACGGGUGAGUAAUGCCUAGGAAUCUGCCGUAGUGGUGGGGGAUAACGUUCGGAAACGGACGCUAAUACCGCAGUACGUCCUACGGGAGAAAGCGGGGGACCUUCGGGCCUCGCGCCAUUAGAUGAGCCUAGGUCGGAUUAGCUAGUUGGUGAGGUAAUGGCGUCACCAAGGCGACGAUCCGUAACCUGGUCUGAGAGGAU
This 277-nucleotide ribosomal RNA is filed under the name uncultured soil bacterium. Its description in RNAcentral is "partial 16S ribosomal RNA". It matches the Rfam family "Bacterial small subunit ribosomal RNA", at positions 26 to 301 of the family's 1533-position model. The record is from RNAcentral.